GAGGGUAUAGCUCAAGUGGUAGAGCGCAUGCCUAGCGUGUCUGAGGUCCUGGUUCGAUCCCCAGUACCUCCA
RNAcentral lists this transfer RNA (72 nucleotides) under Camelus ferus (Wild Bactrian camel). It matches the Rfam family "tRNA". From Rfam's summary of the family: Transfer RNA (tRNA) molecules are approximately 80 nucleotides in length. Their secondary structure includes four short double-helical elements and three loops (D, anti-codon, and T loops). The record is from Rfam by way of RNAcentral. Lineage: Eukaryota; Metazoa; Chordata; Mammalia; Artiodactyla; Camelidae.